Molecule: long non-coding RNA, 226 nt
Organism: Anneissia japonica
Lineage: Eukaryota; Metazoa; Echinodermata; Crinoidea; Comatulida; Comatulidae
Exons: 5
Source: RefSeq, a predicted model, not a curated record
GAAUCUACCACAGCAGCACAACCGACAACAUCAGUGACAACUGAGGAACCUACCACAGCAGCACCACCUACAACCUUAGUGACAACUGAAGAACCUACCACAUCAGUACAGCCGACAACAUUAGUGACAACUGAAGAAUCUACCACAGCGGCACAACCGACAACGUCAGUGACAACUGAGGAACCUACCACGGCGGCACCACCUACGACAUCAGUGACAACUGAGG